This 485-nucleotide ribosomal RNA is filed under the name Brachymonas sp. canine oral taxon 015. RNAcentral describes it as "bacterial SSU rRNA". It matches the Rfam family "Bacterial small subunit ribosomal RNA", at positions 9 to 488 of the family's 1533-position model. The record is from RNAcentral. Lineage: Bacteria; Pseudomonadati; Pseudomonadota; Betaproteobacteria; Burkholderiales; Comamonadaceae.
GAGUUUGAUUCUGGCUCAGAUUGAACGCUGGCGGCAUGCUUUACACAUGCAAGUCGAACGGCAGCACAGGGAGCUUGCUCCUGGGUGGCGAGUGGCGAACGGGUGAGUAAUGUAUCGGAACGUGCCUGGUAGUGGGGGAUAACUACUCGAAAGAGUGGCUAAUACCGCAUGAGAUCUUUGGAUGAAAGCGGGGGACCUUUGGGCCUCGCGCUACUGGAGCGGCCGAUAUCAGAUUAGGUUGUUGGUGGGGUAAAGGCCUACCAAGCCUGCGAUCUGUAGCUGGUCUGAGAGGACGACCAGCCACACUGGGACUGAGACACGGCCCAGACUCCUACGGGAGGCAGCAGUGGGGAAUUUUGGACAAUGGGCGCAAGCCUGAUCCAGCAAUGCCGCGUGCAGGACGAAGGCCUUCGGGUUGUAAACUGCUUUUGUACAGAACGAAAAGUCUCUGGCUAAUAUCUAGAGAUCCAUGACCGGUACNNAGA